This is a long non-coding RNA of Brienomyrus brachyistius, 1349 nucleotides long. RefSeq lists it as uncharacterized. The transcript has 3 exons. The record is from RefSeq and is a predicted model, not a curated record. Lineage: Eukaryota; Metazoa; Chordata; Actinopteri; Osteoglossiformes; Mormyridae.
ACCUUUGUGACUUCAAGUGUUGUUUAUGAGUAACAUGAAUUGUCAUUAUUAAGGUAUUCCAAAAUAUUUUCAGGAAGCAUUGGUUUCAAACAUUAGCUGAUAUUUUUUGCUUUUGAUUUAGCAAAUACUCUUUCUGGUUUUGCCAAAUACUUUUUCAGAACUCUAAGCAAAUUAGUGGGUGAGAGACCAGAUACGUGGGACGUAUAUCUGGAUGCAAUUAUGUUUGGAUUGCGCACAAAAAAACAAACCACAACUAAGUUCUCACCGUACUUCCUCAUGUUUGGAGGCCCGCUACCCUUCUGAGGUGCCAGAACAACACCAGGUCAUCAAUGGUUAUUUAACAGUUUUGGUGAGAAAGUACAACAGCAGAAAUGCAGGCUGUGCCACUUUGAUUGACAACUAUACAAUGAGUAACAUCUGGAUCACGGCUAAAGAUCAGUCCCAUGGAUUCUAAUAUAAUUGUAGGCAUCGUCAAUGACAAUCAACACUGGAUGUUAACAGUGAGUUGCUCAUGACCCAUCAAAGGUUUUAGAUACUGUUUAAACCUCAGAUAAACGUCAUUCAACUGUUAAACUCUCUUUAGAAACGUUGGAAAAUGGAGAUGAGAUGUUUAUAGCAGAAGGAAUAUGUGCUUCUGAAAUUCUGUAGAGGAUGGUGCAUUCUGUAGAGGACAGUGCAUUCUGUAGAGGAUGGUGCAUUCUGUAGAGGACGGUGCAUUCUGUAGAGGACGGUGCAUUCUGUAGAUGACGGUGCAUUCUGUAGAGGAUGGUGCAUUCUGUAGAUGACGGUGCAUUCUGUAGAGGACGGUGCAUUCUGUAGAGGACGGUGCAUUCUGUAGAGGAUGGUGCAUUCUGUAGAGGACGGUACAUUCUGUAGAGGAUGGUGCAUUCUGUAGAGGAUGGUGCAUUCUGUAGAGGACGGUGCAUUCUGUAGAGGACGGUACAUUCUGUAGAGGACGGUACAUUCUGUAGAGGAUGGUGCAUUCUGUAGAGGACGGUGCAUUCUGUAGAGGAUGGUGCAUUCUGUAGAGGACGGUACAUUCUGUAGAGGAUGGUGCAUUCUGUAGAGGACGGUGCAUUCUGUAGAGGACGGUGCAUUCUGUAGAGGACGGUGCAUUCUGUAGAGGACGGUACAUUCUGUAGAGGACGGUGCAUUCUGUAGAGGACGGUGCAUUCUGUAGAGGACGGUACAUUCUGUAGAGGAUGGUGCAUUCUGUAGAGGAUGGUACAUUCUGUAGAGGACGGUGCAUUCUGUAGAGGACGGUGCAUUCUGUAGAGGACGGUGCAUUCUGUAGAGGAUGGUACAUUCUGUAGAGGACGGUGCAUUCUGUAGAGGAUGGUACAUUCUGU